AUUUAUUUAGUAUAUAAAGUAUACUUGGCUUCCAACCAGAAGGUCUAAUUGUUUAGAAUAAAUA
This 64-nucleotide transfer RNA is filed under the name Caenis sp. JYZ-2020. Its description in RNAcentral is "tRNA-Gly". Lineage: Eukaryota; Metazoa; Arthropoda; Insecta; Ephemeroptera; Caenidae. The record is from RNAcentral.